Molecule: ribosomal RNA, 253 nt
Filed under: uncultured bacterium
Lineage: Bacteria
Description: partial 16S ribosomal RNA
Rfam family: Bacterial small subunit ribosomal RNA
Source: RNAcentral
UACAGAGGUCUCAACCGUUGUUCGGAUUCAUUGGGCGUAAAGGGUGCGUAGGCGGUCGCGCAAGUCGGAUGUGAAAUCUCAGGGCUCAACCCUGAAACUGCAUUCGAUACUGCGUGGCUAGAGUGCUGGAGAGGAGACUGGAAUUUACGGUGUAGCAGUGAAAUGCGUAGAUAUCGUAAGGAAGACCAGUGGCGAAGGCGAGUCUCUGGACAGCAACUGACGCUGAGGUGCGAAAGCGUGGGGAGCAAACAGG